Molecule: transfer RNA, 71 nt
Filed under: Podarcis lilfordi (Lilford's wall lizard)
Lineage: Eukaryota; Metazoa; Chordata; Lepidosauria; Squamata; Lacertidae
Description: tRNA.Ala
Rfam family: tRNA (bases 8-63)
About the family: Transfer RNA (tRNA) molecules are approximately 80 nucleotides in length. Their secondary structure includes four short double-helical elements and three loops (D, anti-codon, and T loops).
Source: RNAcentral
GGGCUACAGCUCUGUGGUAGAGCAUCUGCCUUGCAAGCUGAAGGUCCCAGGUUCAAUCCCUGGCAUCUCCA